AGGACGAACGCUGGCGGCGUGCUUAACACAUGCAAGUCGAGCGGAAAGGCCCUUCGGGGUACUCGAGCGGCGAACGGGUGAGUAACACGUGAGCAACCUGCCCUUAGCUUCGGGAUAGCUCCGGGAAACCGGAAUUAAUACCGAAUAUGACUUUGGCUGACAUCAGCAGAAGUGGAAAGUUUUUCGGCUGGGGAUGGACUCGCGGCCUAUCAGCUUGUUGGUGGGGUAAUGGCCUACCAAGGCGACGACGGGUA
This 254-nucleotide ribosomal RNA is filed under the name uncultured bacterium. Its description in RNAcentral is "partial small subunit ribosomal RNA". It matches the Rfam family "Bacterial small subunit ribosomal RNA", at positions 26 to 285 of the family's 1533-position model. The record is from RNAcentral.